GCACGGGGUGGGGAGGAGGAGGAGCGGGCACAGGGCAACACCUGGCAGCGCCGGACACCUCCGGGGAGAGGGGACAUUGAGGCACCGGGCAGGAAUGACCUUCUGUGGCCAACACAAAUCUUUUUGAGAACUCAGUGACAAGAGCUCUAAGCCUGAAAUAAAUCAGGGUGUUCACUCAAACAGCACGGACAGAAGAACAGCAGCAAGCGGGGUUUCAGUCCCCCAUUCCUCCAGAACUUUGAUGGAAUACUGCUCUGGAUGAAGUGGUUUCCUCCUGGAAACUGGAAUCCUUUGGCAUUCUCAACACAGCUGAAUCCAAACUACGACGUGGCCUGGAAAGGGUCGAGCCACAGAACUCUCAGGUGUGGCCUGGGAUUUUCCCCAGGACCUCCAGUGAUGACCCAGGGAUUUAUGCUGGGUUAAAAUGCCAUCUCCAGCAUGUUUUGUCCUUGGGAAGGCUUCAGGGGUCAAUCUCCUGCAGGAUGCAGGCCCUGUGGUGAUUUGCCAUUAGAAUGCACCUGGUUGGGGCUCCCAGGUACUGAUGUCCCUUUUCCUCCUCAUUUCCCAGGGCUUCUCCCUUCUCUUUGUCUCUCAGGCUGAAUGAGCCCUCAGCUGAGCUUGGGAAACUUGUGGCAUGUCUGGAAGCACCAGGGUCCCAGCUCCUGGGUGACUUUUAAAUCCUGGCAGUCCUUCCCCUGGAGCAGUGUGGAGAGCCCAGCUCUGGGGUGCUGGGGACACUGGGGGCAGUGGGGAGAGAGGGGUGACGGUGAUGGAGGUCACGGUGACUUGUCCAGGGAGCACAGGAUGAUGCUGUGGGGUCAGGGCUGGGUUUGUUUGAUAAAAUAAGGGAGGAAAUUGGGGAAUUUCCAAGGUAGUCUGGAAAGGAAAAGGCAAAGAAAUCAGAGGGUCAGUCCUGCUCCUGUGAGCACAGGAUGAGAAUCCACAGGAGAGGGCUGCAGGACCUCACACUGAUCCCAGGCUGAUCCCAGACCUUAUCCCAUCUCCUCCAAAAAGCAAGGAUUUGCAGCUUGGUGCAAGCCCUGGGAGCUGGAGGGUGUGAGGUGAGGAAGACCCCCCCAGUUACACUGGCAGGGCUCCAACCCACGACCCCAAAGUGAGCUUUAAAAUUUGCUAAUCUCAAAA
Long non-coding RNA from Parus major (Great Tit), 1143 nucleotides. RefSeq lists it as uncharacterized. Lineage: Eukaryota; Metazoa; Chordata; Aves; Passeriformes; Paridae. The transcript has 2 exons. The record is from RefSeq and is a predicted model, not a curated record.